CCUACGGGAGGCAGCAGUGAGGAAUAUUGGUCAAUGGACGAGAGUCUGAACCAGCCAAGUAGCGUGAAGGAUGACUGCCCUAUGGGUUGUAAACUUCUUUUAUAUGGGAAUAACAUGUUCCACGUGUGGGAUUUUGUAUGUACCAUAUGAAUAAGGAUCGGCUAACUCCGUGCCAGCAGCCGCGGUAAUACGGAGGAUCCGAGCGUUAUCCGGAUUUAUUGGGUUUAAAGGGAGCGUAGGUGGAUUGUUAAGUCAGUUGUGAAAGUUUGCGGCUCAACCGUAAAAUUGCAGUUGAAACUGGCAGGCUUGAGUACAGUAGAGGUGGGCGGAAUUCGUGGUGUAGCGGUGAAAUGCUUAGAUAUCACGAAGAACUCCGAUUGCGAAGGCAGCUCACUGGACUGCAACUGACACUGAGGCUCGAAAGUGUGGGUAUCAAACAGGAUUAGAUACCCCAGUAGUC
Molecule: ribosomal RNA, 460 nt
Filed under: uncultured bacterium
Lineage: Bacteria
Description: partial 16S ribosomal RNA
Rfam family: Bacterial small subunit ribosomal RNA
Source: RNAcentral